Molecule: ribosomal RNA, 808 nt
Filed under: uncultured bacterium
Lineage: Bacteria
Description: bacterial SSU rRNA
Rfam family: Bacterial small subunit ribosomal RNA
Source: RNAcentral
AGAGUUUGAUCCUGGCUCAGAAUGAACGCUAGCGGCGUGCUUAACACAUGCAAGUCGUGCGCGAAAGUGACUUCGGUCACUGGAGAGCGGCGAACGGGUGAGUAACACGUGGAUAACCUGCCUGGAAGUGGGGGAUAACCUGGGGAAACUUGGGCUAAUACCGCAUAUGUUCGUGAAGUCUCGGCUUUGCGAACAAAGAUGGCCUCUGCUUGAAUGCCAUCGCUACCAGAGGGGCCCGCGCCUGAUUAGCUAGUUGGUAGGGUAAUGGCCUACCAAGGCUCCGAUCAGUAGCCGGCCUGAGAGGGUGAUCGGCCACACUGGAACUGAGACACGGUCCAGACUCCUACGGGAGGCAGCAGUGGGGAAUAUUGGACAAUGGGCGAAAGCCUGAUCCAGCAACGCCGCGUGGAGGAUGAAGGUCUUCGGAUUGUAAACUCCUGUCAGAUGGGAAGAACGACUGUCGGCAAAUAGUCGAUAGUCUUGACUGUACCAUCGGAGGAAGCCCCGGCUAACUCUGUGCCAGCAGCCGCGGUAAUACAGAGGGGGCAAGCGUUAUUCGGAAUUAUUGGGCGUAAAGGGCGCGUAGGUGGCCUGGUAAGUCAACGGUGAAAUCCCUCGGCUCAACCGAGGAACUGCCUUUGAUACUGCUAGGCUUGAGGCCGGGAGAGGGUAGCGGAAUUCCCAGUGUAGCGGUGAAAUGCGUAGAUAUUGGGAGGAACACCGGUGGCGAAGGCGGCUACCUGGACCGGUUCUGACACUGAGGCGCGAAAGCGUGGGGAUCAAACAGGAUUAGAUACCCUGGUAGUCC